AAGUAAUGGUUCAUAUUUGGAUUUGGAAUUUAAGGAAGCAAGUUAGCCAACGCAUCAACCACGUGGGUCUCACUGCCUCCACCACCUUUAAAUCUCUUUUUUCUUUAGUUCUAAUCUAAAUAUUGCAUGAAAGGAACUUGUAUAACCCUACACUCACGACGAUGGUCAGUACGUUACAAGAGAGAUAUUUAAUCGUAGCUAAAUAACAAAGUCCGAGUGUAGAGAAACAAAAACUUGACGUGGAUCAAAACAUAACAACAAUGACUCUGAUUAUUAGUGUUAAUGCACAGCAUAGAUUAAAAAGAUAUAGCUAGUUAUCACUGUAGUUGAAUAAUGAGUAAUAUGUUGCGAUUUUAGUAGUUUGGCAAAAUGAAAAGAUGUAAGAAGAAGUAAAUGUAUAAUAGUUGCACGAAAAAAAAAAAAAAAAAAACUAUGCCAUAUGUUGUCCAACACGAACAGCAAAAUACAAGAGCCACAAUUUUGUGAAAGGUGACAAAAUGCAGCUACCUAUUCUUUCUUUCAUUUUUAUUUUGUGUCCAACAUUUCUACCAUGUUUUUUCUAUUUCAAGUAAAAAUGUAUAUUUUUGUACUUCACAUGAAAAGUUGCAUCAAUAUCAUCAGGUCGGCCGAAGCGCUAAUAAUAUCAAUAUUACAAUUAAUCUCUGAAUUAUCAGUCGGCCAAAUUAAUAUCGUAGUUGGUUCUUGAUUUGCUUUGAACAAACGUCAAUUAAACUAAAAAAAACAAAGAAACUUAAAAGAACAAAACACCAUUUGAAACAAAUAUUUAUUUAAUGGUGUUAUAUACUGAUUAUGUGAAUGAAUAAUUUAUUUUUUAUACUCGUGUUUAUACUAUCUCAAUAUUUAGCCACUACCAUCAUCACUUGUGCU
RNAcentral lists this long non-coding RNA (888 nucleotides) under Brassica rapa (field mustard). RNAcentral's name for it is "long non-coding RNA (BRAP_LNC007437)". The record is from RNAcentral. Lineage: Eukaryota; Viridiplantae; Streptophyta; Magnoliopsida; Brassicales; Brassicaceae.